UGUCUGUAGAAAAAGAUUUUAGUUACAGAUAUUUUCUGCCCGGUGGGUGUCUUAAACGGCCGCGGUACUCUGACCGUGCAAAGGUAGCAUAAUCAUUUGCCUUUUUAUUGGGGGCUGGAAUGAAUGGAAGUAUCGGAACCUUUGCUGUCUCUUUUUUUAUUUUGGAAAUUGCUUUUCUUGUGAAGAAGCACUAGUUUGGAAGAGGGACAAGAAGACCCUAGUAAACUUGAUUAUUUUUAUCUGUAAGUUUUUAUUUAAAGAAUGUUUAGGGUUUAUUGUAAUUUGGUUGGGGUGAUUGAAAAAGAAUUUAAAUCUUUUUUUAAAAAAAGAACAUAAGAGUUGAAGAUUGCUAGCGAAGUGUUUGAAUAGUAUGAAAAGUUACUAUAGGGAUAACAGCGUAAUUUUUUCUAAAAGUUCUUAUUGAAGAAAAAGAUUGCGACCUCGAUGUUGACUUGUUG
This 458-nucleotide ribosomal RNA is filed under the name Lineidae sp. Pili_CB045_CB045_18_02. Its description in RNAcentral is "partial 16S ribosomal RNA". It matches the Rfam family "Bacterial large subunit ribosomal RNA", at positions 1820 to 2542 of the family's 2925-position model. The record is from RNAcentral. Lineage: Eukaryota; Metazoa; Nemertea; Pilidiophora; Heteronemertea; Lineidae.